AGAGUUUGAUUAUGGCUCAGGACGAACGCUGGCGGCGUGCUUAACACAUGCAAGUCGAGCGAGGAUAAAGUUUAACACUGAGUAUUUAAGCGAAGGCAUUAAUUAGCCAGAGCAUAUGCACAACCAACCCUAAGGUUUAAAAUCGCGGGUUGUGCAUUACGCGUUAAACAGUGCUAACAGAAAAAAGUUUGAGUACUGAGUGUUAAACUUUAUCCUAGCGGCGGAUGGGUGAGUAACGCGUGAGCAACCUGCCCUACACAGGGGGAUAACAACUGGAAACAGUUGCUAAUACCCCAUGAUAUCAGACUAACGCCUGUUAGAGUGAUUAAAGGUAAUACCGGUGUAGGAUGGGCUCGCGUCCCAUUAGCUAGUUGGUAGGGUAGAGGCCUACCAAGGCAACGAUGGGUAGCCGACCUGAGAGGGUGAUCGGCCACACUGGGACUGAGACACGGCCCAGACUCCUACGGGAGGCAGCAGUGGGGAAUAUUGCGCAAUGGGGGGAACCCUGACGCAGCAACGCCGCGUGAGUGACGAAGGUUUUCGGAUCGUAAAGCUCUGCCAUUGGGGACGAAGGAAGUGACGGUACCCAAUAAGGAAGCCCCGGCUAACUACGUGCCAGCAGCCGCGGUAAUACGUAGGGGGCGAGCGUUGUCCGGAAUUACUGGGCGUAAAGGGUGCGUAGGCGGCCAAAUAAGUCAGCUGUGAAAUACCGGGGCUUAACCCCGGGGGUGCAGUUGAAACUGUAUGGCUUGAGUGCAGGAGAGGAAAGCGGAAUUCCUAGUGUAGCGGUGAAAUGCGUAGAGAUUAGGAGGAACACCUGUGGCGAAGGCGGCUUUCUGGACUGUAACUGACGCUGAGGCACGAAAGCGUGGGUAGCGAACAGGAUUAGAUACCCUGGUAGUCCACGCCGUAAACGAUGGAUACUAGGUGUAGGGGGUAUCGACCCCUUCUGUGCCGUAGUUAACGCAAUAAGUAUCCCGCCUGGGGAGUACGUGCACAAGCAUGAAACUCAAAUGAUUGACGG
This 1024-nucleotide ribosomal RNA is filed under the name uncultured bacterium. Its description in RNAcentral is "bacterial SSU rRNA". It matches the Rfam family "Bacterial small subunit ribosomal RNA", at positions 8 to 916 of the family's 1533-position model. The record is from RNAcentral.